UCAUUCAUACCCAGUAGGGAAUAAGAUUUCUAAAAAAUGAAAGGAGAUCACGAUCAUGUGACUAGGAAAUUCGAAUAUGUAAAACAUAAAUUUGUCUGAUUUCGAAUUAUCAUGCAAGAUCUUACAAAAUCAAAUAAAAAAACUCAUUCUGGUUAGAAAAGGUUUAUAUAUUUAUUUUCCUGCUAAGUACAAGAAACAUUAUGGAAUACAGAGAAAAGAGCUAGUGGUGAUAAUGUAUUCUCAUUUCUAGAUAUGAAUCAGAAGGGAAGUGUUUUAUACUUUUUGUUCUAACAAUUGCAUAAACAUCAAUUCUGAUAUUUUCCUGUUAGUCAAAAUGAAAAUUAUUAGUUCCAGCUUUCAUGGCUUUUUAUAAGAUAGUUCAGGUUGAAAUUAACUGAUGAGACAGUCAAAAUGACAAUUCUAGUACAUUCCAAAGAAACUCAGAUAGGAUAUAAAUUUUGAAUGAGAUGUCCUCACACAAAAUAAUCUAAAGGGUUCAAAUCAGGCGAUCAUGGUGGCCAGCCAACCAGUAGAGCCUUCACGACCAAUCCAUCUGUUCGGAUAAUUUACAUCCUAGUGAUUUCUCACAUUCAAUGCAAAGUGUGGUUCAAAAGUUGAUAUUUCUAAGAUUUAGUGUGAUCCGAGGUAUAUUUACAGUUUUCAUUCAUUUAUUAGAAAUUGUCAUUUAGUUCAAUAAUAUAAUUGCAGUUUUCAUUCAUUAAA
Molecule: long non-coding RNA, 723 nt
Organism: Harmonia axyridis
Lineage: Eukaryota; Metazoa; Arthropoda; Insecta; Coleoptera; Coccinellidae
Exons: 2
Source: RefSeq, a predicted model, not a curated record